This 29-nucleotide non-coding RNA is filed under the name Homo sapiens (human). The record is from RNAcentral. Lineage: Eukaryota; Metazoa; Chordata; Mammalia; Primates; Hominidae.
UGGGUUUUAUUGAACUGAUCUGAAAGGCU